Long non-coding RNA from Prinia subflava (tawny-flanked prinia), 1098 nucleotides. RefSeq lists it as uncharacterized. The record is from RefSeq and is a predicted model, not a curated record. NCBI's taxonomy places the organism in Eukaryota, Metazoa, Chordata, Aves, Passeriformes, Cisticolidae. The transcript has 4 exons.
CUGUGCUGAGCUGUGCUGAGCUGUGCGGGGCCGUGCUGAGCCGUGCGGGGCCGUGCUGAGCCGUGCUGAGCUGUGCGGAGCCGUGCUGAGCUGUGCGAGGCCCCGCAGUGGCACCUGCUGUAGGGGCAGGGCAGGCGAGCUCUACCCGCCAUUUGCCAGCGUUUCGGGAGUCUUUAGCGCACUCGCCCCACCACCCUCUGGUGGGAUUUCAGGAUUUCGGCCGGGUUGUGAACCCUUCCAGCGGGAGUUCUGCCUGCCUGAGCACCUGGCCCGUUAAGCAAAGGGACGCAUUUCUGCGGAAACACCUUCCCAGAGGCUCAGCAGACGCUGUGCAGCACUCACUGGGGUGGUCUGCGUGGAGCUCUCAUUCAGAACUGUUUAAACCAGCAGACAUCCAGGCAAGCAGACCAAGACUGGGAAUGCUAAAUGUUGCACACGCAAAACGAUGUCAGCAAAGUGUUUGUUUGCCCUCAAACCUAGGGAACAGCCUACUAACACGGGUGAUGGAUGAUGAAGGAUGGGGUGCAGGAACUGGAGCUUGCCAGAAGUCUCUGGCUGAUGAGCUCUUUGCCUCUUGGGUGCUGCAGGGAAUGGCCUCCCUUCUUCCCCACUUCAUGCAAGGGAAGGUGGAAUGCUGGUGGAACUCAUACAGGAAAGAUAUGAAUGGCUGGUUUUGAAGGGGAAAUACAAAAGAACUUAUUGAUAGCACAAGGAAAGGCACACACAUAGAGGGUGUGCAAGAAGUGUUUAAAAAUAUGUUCAACAACCGGUAUUCGGACGUGAAGAAGAAAUUCUGCAGUAAGCACAGCUACUCCACACCACUGUGCUCAUGUCCACGCUAAACAGCUGCAGACAGAACAUAAAGGCAAUUUUUCCUCUUGCUCUGACACUGGGACAGAAAGAACAACCGUGCGGGUGUCCAGCAAGGAUGCUGCUGCUUUUACCCCGCCCGGCCGGAGAUCCACCGCCCCCCAGCAGCGCUCGGCUUUCCGCGGGCUCGCAGCGGCAUCCAACAGCAGAGGGAGCUCCGCGAGAGGAAGAGCAGCGGGAGCAGCCCCGGAGGAGGGAGCCGGGCAGGGGGGACAGAGAGAACUGCAG